Long non-coding RNA from Felis catus (domestic cat), 142 nucleotides. It matches the Rfam family "MEST intronic transcript 1, antisense RNA conserved region 1". The record is from Rfam. NCBI's taxonomy places the organism in Eukaryota, Metazoa, Chordata, Mammalia, Carnivora, Felidae.
UGUCGCUUAGGUUCGUUUUCUCUGGCUAACGGAUUAUUCACCUUGAUGCUUCUCUACCACACCUUUUGAACUUUCUGCAGCCAAAGACUUUUACCCAGACAUGAGCCUGAAGAGGAAAAAAAAAAAAAAAACCAGUCACUCU